CGUAGGUGAACCUGCGGAAGGAUCAUUAUUGAGUAUUUACACCUUGGGAAGGUUGUCGGCUGGCCACUUUUAAAGGCAAUGUGCACACCUGUCCCUUGGCGCUCUACUUGCUUUAUCCUCCUGUGCACUUCUUGUGGCUUUCUGCUCUCUCUGUAUGGUUGAGCGGUGGUCAUGCCCUAUCUACUGUAGACGAGUGUAAUUGAGUGUGCUUGUGAUUAGUAUCCUUAUACAACUUUCAGCAACGGAUCUCUUGGCUCUCGCAUCGAUGAAGAACGCAGCGAAAUGCGAUAAGUAAUGUGAAUUGCAGAAUUCAGUGAAUCAUCGAAUCUUUGAACGCACCUUGCACUCCUUGGUAUUCCGAGGAGUACGCCUGUUUGAGUGUCAGUUGAUCUAUAACGCACCUGGGAACCAUGCUCAGGAGGCUGUCUUUGAAGUGGGGAAUGCUUGCCUUCUGUGUUGUCUGUCAGGUAGUCGGCCGUUCCUUCGGGGGGUCCUGUAUACACCUGUCUUGGGCUUUUAGCAUGUUGGGUAGGCUUCCCUGAAAUGCAUUUGCGAGGGUUGCUUGUGGGCUUUUAUAGGUGUCAUAGUUCUAUGCGCCGGCAAGUCUGCUUGUGGUGACCCUGCUGUCCAACCAUGUCUGAAAAGGGCAUCUUGACAAACUUGACCUCAAAUCAGGUGGACUACCCG
Molecule: ribosomal RNA, 687 nt
Filed under: Agaricales sp. TF22TZC
Lineage: Eukaryota; Fungi; Basidiomycota; Agaricomycetes; Agaricales
Also listed under: 1 other name
Description: eukaryotic LSU rRNA
Rfam family: 5.8S ribosomal RNA (bases 231-384)
Source: RNAcentral